GAAAUCUAUUUUAAAAAUUUGUUGUGCCCUCUGACGCCUGCUUGGUACCCGUUUUCGUGCUGGCUAAGCAAAAAAAGAGUCAGUGAAAAGAAAGCUGGACCACAUUUUGGUGUCAGAAUUGGGAAUCCAAAAAGGCCUCUCAUGAGCCUCAAGGUACUGACAGAGCCCAGUGCACUUACUGCUUUCUCCCUGACCAUGGAGUUCUAGGGGUCUUAAAUGCUUGUCAGCAGCCACAGAGUUGACAGAUGAUCUUUGUGAGGAAAAAACAACAAAACUACAUGAACAAGAAUCAUCAG
Non-coding RNA from Microcebus murinus (gray mouse lemur), 296 nucleotides. The record is from RefSeq and is a predicted model, not a curated record. NCBI's taxonomy places the organism in Eukaryota, Metazoa, Chordata, Mammalia, Primates, Cheirogaleidae.